Molecule: ribosomal RNA, 303 nt
Filed under: uncultured bacterium
Lineage: Bacteria
Description: partial 16S ribosomal RNA
Rfam family: Bacterial small subunit ribosomal RNA
Source: RNAcentral
AGCAGUAGCCACGGGAAUACGUAGGUGGCAAGCGUUGUCCGGAAUUAUUGGGCGUAGAGGGCUCGCAGGCGGUUUCUUAAGUCUGAUGUGAAAGCCCCCGGCUCAACCGGGGAGGGUCAUUGGAAACUGGGAAACUUGAGUGCAGAAGAGGAGAGUGGAAUUCCACGUGUAGCGGUGAAAUGCGUAGAGAUGUGGAGGAACACCAGUGGCAAAGGCGACUCUCUGGUCUGUAACUGACGCUGGGGAGCGAAAGCGUGGGGAGCGAACAGGAUUAGAUACCCCUGUAGUCCCUGUCUCUUAUAA